RNAcentral lists this ribosomal RNA (538 nucleotides) under uncultured bacterium. Its description in RNAcentral is "bacterial SSU rRNA". It matches the Rfam family "Bacterial small subunit ribosomal RNA", at positions 9 to 529 of the family's 1533-position model. The record is from RNAcentral.
GAGUUUGAUCCUGGCUCAGGAUGAACGCUGGCGGCGUGCCUAAUACAUGCAAGUCGAGCGAACAGAUAAGGAGCUUGCUCCUUUGAAGUUAGCGGCGGACGGGUGAGUAACACGUGGGUAACCUACCUAUAAGACUGGGAUAACUUCGGGAAACCGGAGCUAAUACCGGAUAACAUUUAGAACCGCAUGGUUCUAAAGUGAAAGAUGGUUUUGCUAUCACUUAUAGAUGGACCCGCGCCGUAUUAGCUAGUUGGUAAGGUAACGGCUUACCAAGGCGACGAUACGUAGCCGACCUGAGAGGGUGAUCGGCCACACUGGAACUGAGACACGGUCCAGACUCCUACGGGAGGCAGCAGUAGGGAAUCUUCCGCAAUGGGCGAAAGCCUGACGGAGCAACGCCGCGUGAGUGAUGAAGGGUUUCGGCUCGUAAAACUCUGUUAUUAGGGAAGAACAAAUGUGUAAGUAACUGUGCACAUCUUGACGGUACCUAAUCAGAAAGCCACGGCUAACUACGUGCCAGCAGCCGCGGUAAUACGUA